Molecule: ribosomal RNA, 253 nt
Filed under: uncultured bacterium
Lineage: Bacteria
Description: partial 16S ribosomal RNA
Rfam family: Bacterial small subunit ribosomal RNA
Source: RNAcentral
UACGGAGGGUGCGAGCGUUGUCCGGAAUCACUGGGCGUAAAGGGCGCGUAGGCGGCCUGAUAAGUAGGGGGUGAAAUCCUGCGGCUUAACCGCAGGGCUGCCUUCUAAACUGUCAGGCUCGAGCACAGUAGAGGCAGGUGGAAUUUCCGGUGUAGCGGUGGAAUGCGUAGAGAUCGGGAAGAACAUCAGUGGCGAAGGCGGCCUGCUGGGCUGUUGCUGACGCUGAGGCGCGACAGCGUGGGGAGCAAACAGG